Molecule: non-coding RNA, 196 nt
Filed under: Streptococcus bovimastitidis
Lineage: Bacteria; Bacillati; Bacillota; Bacilli; Lactobacillales; Streptococcaceae
Description: 6S RNA
Rfam family: 6S / SsrS RNA
About the family: E. coli 6S RNA was the first non coding RNA to be sequenced, but its function was unknown until recently. It consists of 184 nucleotides that fold into an extended hairpin structure with a large single-stranded internal bulge. The 6S RNA specifically associates with RNA polymerase holoenzyme containing the sigma70 specificity factor.
Source: RNAcentral
GAAUCGCUGUGGCAUACGAGUUCACAUCAAUGUGUUGACCGACUAUUUCUUUGUAUUUUCGGGAAACAAAGCAUUUCUCUAGUAUGCAAGCCGUAUCACGCGGAAGCAACUGCAAAGAGAAAUCACGUUACCCACCUGCUCAUAAUGUGCGGUGUCAAUACAAAUCGUGAACCACCGGUGCCAAUACAGCUUUCUU